Long non-coding RNA from Cavia porcellus (domestic guinea pig), 765 nucleotides. RefSeq lists it as uncharacterized. Lineage: Eukaryota; Metazoa; Chordata; Mammalia; Rodentia; Caviidae. The record is from RefSeq and is a predicted model, not a curated record. The transcript has 3 exons.
GUGAAAAGUUCUCUUCCCCAGAAAGAGAAACCACUCCUUGCACACAAAUCCUGCUCAUCACACCAGCUGUCUGCUAGUGACACUGUGGAGCCAGGAAAUGCUUCUACAAAUGUCAUUUCCAGGUGUUUAAUGUGAUAACAGAUGUGCUGCAUGGUACCAGGUGAAUCACAUGGUGAUGUGGGCUGUGCCAUACACAGAUGUAAUGGGGUCACCGAGAUGACUGCUUCACCUACACUUGAGAAACCCACAGAAUUAUGACAACAGGAAUAACUGAUGUGUACUCUACAAAGGUGUGACCAAUGGCUGAGUUGAUAGCAGCAUUGUAAGUGAAGAUUGCAAGAUCAUUAGAGCUCAAGAGACUGGAGCUUCUGUAACAUGGGGAAUGGCUUGUUUUCCACAUUCGGAUGGAGAUGGGGGGGUGUGACUGGAUUCCAAUGACUGCAAGAGCACUGAGUCACAUUAAGUGGACGAUGAGAAUGAUGUUGAAAUAUAUGUUUUGUUUGAGUCUACAUUCAAUAUGCAGAAUGAGAAUAAUGGGAAGAUUAAAUUUCUGGAGCUUCCUGAGAUCUCAGUAGUAGUUCUACAAACAUCAAAGUAGAUCACAGUUGUGUUGUAAGUGUGUAAGGAAAAUAUUGCUGGAAGUAGUAUUUUGAAAGAGAAUGAACAAUCUGCUUGGAACCCGCAGUGCAUGGAGAUGACCAGCAGAGGGCAGAGCCGCAAACGUCUUUCAAAGCAACCUUGUGUCCCUCCCACCUGCUCAAGGAA